Molecule: ribosomal RNA, 253 nt
Filed under: uncultured bacterium
Lineage: Bacteria
Description: partial 16S ribosomal RNA
Rfam family: Bacterial small subunit ribosomal RNA
Source: RNAcentral
UACGUAGGGGGCAAGCGUUGUCCGGAUUUAUUGGGCGUAAAGAGCUCGUAGGCGGUCUGUCGCGUCGGCUGUGAAAACCCGGGGCUCAACCCCGGGCCUGCAGUCGAUACGGGCAGACUAGAGUGCGGUAGGGGAGACUGGAAUUCCUGGUGUAGCGGUGAAAUGCGCAGAUAUCAGGAGGAACACCGGUGGCGAAGGCGGGUCUCUGGGCCGAUAUUGACGCUGAGGAGCGAAAGCGUGGGGAGCGAACAGG